Papio anubis (olive baboon) is the source of this 1886-nucleotide long non-coding RNA. Lineage: Eukaryota; Metazoa; Chordata; Mammalia; Primates; Cercopithecidae. The record is from Ensembl.
CUGAGGCAAGACUCUUCACCAGCAAAAAGAUUUAUGACUUGCUGAAGGCCCAGAUGAUUGUUAGCAUUUUUCAUCAAUAAUUUUAAAUUAAGGAAUAUACAUUGUUCUUCUAGACAUAAUACUAUUGCACACUUAAUAGACUACAGUAUAGUGUAAACAUAACUUUUACAUGCACUGGUAAACCAAAAAAUGUGCAUGACUUGCGUGAUGGUUAAUAUUGAAUGUCAACUUGAAUGGAUUGAAAGAUGCAAAGUAUUGUUCCUGGUGUGUCCGUGAGGGUGUUGCCAAAGGAGAUUAACAUUUGAGUCAGUGGGCUGUGAGAAGCAGACCCACCCUUAAUCUGGGUGGGCACCCUCUAAUCAAGUGCCAGUGUAGCUAGAAUAAUGCAGGCAGAAAAAGGUGGAAAGAGCAGACUUGCUGAGUCUUCCGGUCUUCAUCUUUCUCCCGUGCUGGAUGCUUCCUGCCCUUGAACAUCAGACUCCAAGUUCUUCAGCUUUUGGACUGUUGGACUUAACCAGUGGUUUUCCAGGGACUCUCAGGCCUUUGGCCACAGAUUGAAAAAUGCUCUCUCAGCUUCCCUACUUUUAAGGUUUUUGAGACUUGGACUGGCUUCCUUGCUCCUCAGCUUGCAGACGGCCUGUUAUGGGACUUCACCUUGUGAUCGGGACUCCUAUCUGUAGCCUCCCAUCCAUUUGCCACCCAGCUGGCCACCAGGCUCAUCAUCCCCUUCUCCUCGAGCUGGGGCCUCCUGAUCUUCAGAAACAGACUCCCUCUCAUCUCCAGAUUCCAGGGAGCAGCAGAAAUUCAAGCACUGGCCAGCACUGCAUCCUUGAACUCCUCAGCAAGGCACCAAAGUUCUCCAGGUAUCACUGCCCAAAAAUGUCCAGGCAGCCUCCCAUCUCCCCAGGGUCCUAACAGCAUGACUGUUCAAAUCCACAGUGUCUUGAACAUCUUGUGCAGAGAUGGAUCAAACCAUGCUGCUGCCUGAAGGAAGUUUGGAGCAGGUGUCUUAGUCCCUUCGGGCUGCUGUAGCAAAGUGCUAUAGGCUGGGUGGCUCAAAAACAACAGCAAUUUAUUUUUCAUAGCUCUGGAGGCUGGCAGUCCAAGAUCAGGAUGUCAGCAUGGGCGGGUCCUGGUGAGGCCCCUCUUCUGGGUUGUAGACUUCCGUCUUCUCUCUGUGUCCUCACAUGGUGGAAAGACAGCUGGUUAGCUCUCUGGCCUCUUCUCAUAAGUGCACUAAUCUGGCCGGGCACAGUGGCUCAUACCUGUAAUCCCAGCACUUUGGGAGGCCAAGGUGGGAGGAUCACCUGAGGUCAGGAGUUUGAGACCAGCUUGGCCAACAUGGUGAAAACCUGUCCCUACUCAGAAUGCAAAAAUUAGCGGGGUGGGGUGGCUCAUGCCUGUAGUCCCAGUUACUCAGGAGGCUGCGACAGGAGAAUCGCUUAAACCUGGGAGGCGGAGGUUGCUGUGAGCCAAGAUUGUGCAACUACAUUCCAGCCUGGGCAAUACGGUGAGACUCUGUCUCAAAAAACCAAAAAAUUAUAACUACAUUAAUGCUAUUCAUGGGGGUUCCACUUUGUGAAAGGCAAAUACAUCUUAUGGUCCUUAAAUCACUAAGCUAAAGGGAAAAGUCAAGUUGAGAACCGCUUCAGGCCAACCUGCCUCCCAUUCUAUUCAAAGUUACCCCUCUGUUCACUGAGAUAAAUGCAUAGCUGAUUGCCUCCUUUGGAGAGGUGAAUCAGAAAUGCAAAAGAAUGCAAUCAUUUAUCUCUUACCUAUCUAUGACCUGGAAGCCCCCUCCCCACUUUGAGUCGUCCCGCCUUUCCCGACCGAACCCAUGUUCACCUUACAUAUGUUGAUUGAUCUCUCAAGUCUUCCUAGAAUGU